Molecule: long non-coding RNA, 525 nt
Organism: Tripterygium wilfordii
Lineage: Eukaryota; Viridiplantae; Streptophyta; Magnoliopsida; Celastrales; Celastraceae
Exons: 4
Source: RefSeq, a predicted model, not a curated record
UUUUCUCUCCAAACACAUACCCAUAAUCGACAGCCACUAUUCCAGCAAGUUUCCCGUGAAGCUCCGACCGACAAGGGUCCUUCUUAGGUGGAGUCACACACAUACUUUAAAUUUUCUACAAGAAAAGAGAAGGAUUAAGAUUCAAGUGUGGUCCUCAAGCCAAUUCAAGAGGAGACUUUACUUUCUUGAUUUGGUGGCACUAACAAGUUUCAAGAGAAUUGCGAGUUCAAGUGUGGAGUAGACGUUGCUUUCUUGGUGAGAAUUACAAGUUCACUUCGAGGUCGAGCAUUCGUUUCCUUGUCGAGCAUGUAUUUUCUUCUAUUUUUGUUGUCGAGCAAUAUGUUUUUAAGGAAUUGAUUAUAUGUAAAUUUUAUGUCUUCUUCUUUUUUUCCACUGUAUAUGUAAAUAUGUUUUCACACCUGCCCAGUUAACAUGCACGAACUUCCUCACUAAAAAGCCUGCACAAACCUGCACAAUUCCAUACUUAUACUUAUUGAGAAGUGAAUAAAAUGAAGUCAUAGAUUU